UACGUAGGGUGCAAGCGUUAAUCGGAAUUACUGGGCGUAAAGCGUGCGCAGGCGGUUUUGUAAGUCUGUCGUGAAAGCCCCGGGCUCAACCUGGGAAUUGCGAUGGAGACUGCAAGGCUUGAAUCUGGCAGAGGGGGGUAGAAUUCCACGUGUAGCAGUGAAAUGCGUAGAGAUGUGGAGGAACACCGAUGGCGAAGGCAGCCCCCUGGGUCAAGAUUGACGCUCAUGCACGAAAGUGUGGGGAGCAAACAGG
This 253-nucleotide ribosomal RNA is filed under the name uncultured bacterium. Its description in RNAcentral is "partial 16S ribosomal RNA". It matches the Rfam family "Bacterial small subunit ribosomal RNA", at positions 524 to 776 of the family's 1533-position model. The record is from RNAcentral.